UGAUAAUUUUAAUGCUUCAAAUAAUCAUAAGGUUUACCUCAAUUCAUCAUUUAACAAUAAAAGGAUUACAUUAAAUAGAGCAAGUUAUAUUAUAUAUAUAUUAUUCUUUGGCUUUGAGUCUCGACUUUCUGCCUGCUGGCUCGGAUGCUAAGGUAAAACAAGAUUUUUUAGUUUUUUGAAAUUAGUAAUAAUAACAUAAAUUUAUCAUUGUGUAAAGUUUAUAAGGUUCAUUGCAAUUUAAAAAUAUUGUAACAAGGGAAAAUAUCCUUUACUGAAUAUGUUUGAACACAUAAGCACUGCUGAAAAACUUCCUUAUUUUUAGGAUACAAAUAUGAUUUUUUAAAAUUAUAUUUAUAGGAUAACGAAGAUUUCAUUUUAGCCAAAAUCUAUUUCAGUAUAAGUACCAAUGGGACUGCAAUGGCUGCCAAUGGAUCCAUUUCAUCAUAUCAAUUCGAGGGUUUGAUGAGUUUUCCUGGAAGUCAGACCAUGACUUUGAGAAGAAUAGAGAGAAAGAUUUACACGUGCUUUGAAACUCUUCCUACGGUCCCCGUUCGUGGUGACGAUGGGCGGCAGCGGCGGCUAUAAUUUGGGAUCAGAUCCAAGCAGUGGCGAAGCUACCUCGGUGGCUACUAGUGGUUCUUAAAGGUGAGAGACCGGGUGGGUGACACCCCCCUUCUCCUAAGCCACUGGAUCCAAGGUCUGAAGCGGCAAAUGGCGAUUGCAGCGGGUUAAUAUCAGGAAUUUUCAAAGGUCAGGUGCCAAGGGGAGAGUCGGGAGAUGUCAAAAGUUAAAUAGUUUAUUUUGACAUUUGGGAGUUCAUUCUCAUCAGUGGCCUUUUUUACCAGUCUCUGUUUUAUCGUCUUAGUUUAAUCAUAAUAACCUUGUAUGUAUAUGUGAAA
This is a long non-coding RNA of Pieris rapae (cabbage white), 899 nucleotides long. RefSeq lists it as uncharacterized. The record is from RefSeq and is a predicted model, not a curated record. The transcript has 4 exons. Lineage: Eukaryota; Metazoa; Arthropoda; Insecta; Lepidoptera; Pieridae.